GACGAACGCUGGCGGCGUGCCUAAUACAUGCAAGUAGAACGCUGAAGAGAGGAGCUUGCUCUUCUUGGAUGAGUUGCGAACGGGUGAGUAACGCGUAGGUAACCUGCCUGGUAGCGGGGGAUAACUAUUGGAAACGAUAGCUAAUACCGCAUAAAAUUGAUUAUUGCAUGAUAAUUAAUUGAAAGAUGCAAUUGCAUCACUACCAGAUGGACCUGCGUUGUAUUAGCUAGUUGGUGAGGUAACGGCUCACCAAGGCGACGAUACAUAGCCGACCUGAGAGGGUGAUCGGCCACACUGGGACUGAGACACGGCCCAGACUCCUACGGGAGGCAGCAGUAGGGAAUCUUCGGCAAUGGGGGGAACCCUGACCGAGCAACGCCGCGUGAGUGAAGAAGGUUUUCGGAUCGUAAAGCUCUGUUGUAAGAGAAGAACGGGUGUGAGAGUGGAAAGUUCACACUGUGACGGUAUCUUACCAGAAAGGGACGGCUAACUACGUGCCAGCAGCCGCGGUAAUACGUAGGUCCCGAGCGUUGUCCGGAUUUAUUGGGCGUAAAGCGAGCGCAGGCGGUUAGAUAAGUCUGAAGUUAAAGGCUGUGGCUUAACCAUAGUAUGCUUUGGAAACUGUUUAACUUGAGUGCAGAAGGGGAGAGUGGAAUUCCAUGUGUAGCGGUGAAAUGCGUAGAUAUAUGGAGGAACACCGGUGGCGAAAGCGGCUCUCUGGUCUGUAACUGACGCUGAGGCUCGAAAGCGUGGGGAGCAAACAGGAUUAGAUACCCUGAUAGUCCACGCCGUAAACGAUGAGUGCUAGGUGUUAGGCCCUUUCCGGGGCUUAGUGCCGCAGCUAACGCAUUAAGCACUCCGCCUGGGGAGUACGACCGCAAGGUUGAAACUCAAAGGAAUUGACGGGGGCCCGCACAAGCGGUGGAGCAUGUGGUUUAAUUCGAAGCAACGCGAAGAACCUUACCAGGUCUUGACAUCCCUCUGACCGCUCUAGAGAUAGAGUUUUCCUUCGGGACAGAGGUGACAGGUGGUGCAUGGUUGUCGUCAGCUCGUGUCGUGAGAUGUUGGGUUAAGUCCCGCAACGAGCGCAACCCCUAUUGUUAGUUGCCAUCAUUGAGUUGGGCACUCUAGCGAGACUGCCGGUAAUAAACCGGAGGAAGGUGGGGAUGACGUCAAAUCAUCAUGCCCCUUAUGACCUGGGCUACACACGUGCUACAAUGGCUGGUACAACGAGUCGCAAGCCGGUGACGGCAAGCUAAUCUCUGAAAGCCAGUCUCAGUUCGGAUUGUAGGCUGCAACUCGCCUACAUGAAGUCGGAAUCGCUAGUAAUCGCGGAUCAGCACGCCGCGGUGAAUACGUUCCCGGGCCU
RNAcentral lists this ribosomal RNA (1369 nucleotides) under uncultured bacterium. RNAcentral describes it as "bacterial SSU rRNA". It matches the Rfam family "Bacterial small subunit ribosomal RNA", at positions 28 to 1381 of the family's 1533-position model. The record is from RNAcentral.